Molecule: transfer RNA, 72 nt
Filed under: archaeon
Lineage: Archaea
Description: tRNA-Thr
Rfam family: tRNA
About the family: Transfer RNA (tRNA) molecules are approximately 80 nucleotides in length. Their secondary structure includes four short double-helical elements and three loops (D, anti-codon, and T loops).
Source: RNAcentral
GCCCUCGUGGCUCAGUGGUAGAGCGUGUCCUUGGUAAGGACAAGGUCGCGAGUUCAAUUCUCGCCGAGGGCU